AGAGUUUGAUCAUGGCUCAGAUUGAACGCUGGCGGCAGGCCUAACACAUGCAAGUCGAACGGUAACAGGAAGCAGCUUGCUGCUUCGCUGACGAGUGGCGGACGGGUGAGUAAUGUCUGGGAAACUGCCUGAUGGAGGGGGAUAACUACUGGAAACGGUGGCUAAUACCGCAUAACGUCGCAAGACCAAAGAGGGGGACCUUCGGGCCUCUUGCCAUCAGAUGUGCCCAGAUGGGAUUAGCUUGUUGGUGAGGUAACGGCUCACCAAGGCGACGAUCCCUAGCUGGUCUGAGAGGAUGACCAGCCACACUGGAACUGAGACACGGUCCAGACUCCUACGGGAGGCAGCAGUGGGGAAUAUUGCACAAUGGGCGCAAGCCUGAUGCAGCCAUGCCGCGUGUAUGAAGAAGGCCUUCGGGUUGUAAAGUACUUUCAGCGGGGAGGAAGGUGUUGCGGUUAAUAACCGCAGCAAUUGACGUUACCCGCAGAAGAAGCACCGGCUAACUCCGUGCCAGCAGCCGCGGUAAUACGGAGGGUGCAAGCGUUAAUCGGAAUUACUGGGCGUAAAGCGCACGCAGGCGGUCUGUCAAGUCGGAUGUGAAAUCCCCGGGCUCAACCUGGGAACUGCAUUCGAAACUGGCAGGCUUGAGUCUUGUAGAGGGGGGUAGAAUUCCAGGUGUAGCGGUGAAAUGCGUAGAGAUCUGGAGGAAUACCGGUGGCGAAGGCGGCCCCCUGGACAAAGACUGACGCUCAGGUGCGAAAGCGUGGGGAGCAAACAGGAUUAGAUACCCUGGUAGUCCACGCCGUAAACGAUGUCUACUUGGAGGUUGUGCCCUUGAGGCGUGGCUUCCGGAGCUAACGCGUUAAGUAGACCGCCUGGGGAGUACGGCCGCAAGGUUAAAACUCAAAUGAAUUGACGGGGGCCCGCACAAGCGGUGGAGCAUGUGGUUUAAUUCGAUGCAACGCGAAGAACCUUACCUGGUCUUGACAUCCACGGAAGUUUUCAGAGAUGGAAUGUGCCUUCGGGAACCGUGAGACAGGUGCUGCAUGGCUGUCGUCAGCUCGUGUUGUGAAAUGUUGGGUUAAGUCCCGCAACGAGCGCAACCCUUAUCCUUUGUUGCCAGCGAUUAGGUCGGGAACUCAAAGGAGACUGCCAGUGAUAAACUGGAGGAAGGUGGGGAUGACGUCAAGUCAUCAUGGCCCUUACGACCAGGGCUACACACGUGCUACAAUGGCGCAUACAAAGAGAAGCGACCUCGCGAGAGCAAGCGGACCUCAUAAAGUGCGUCGUAGUCCGGAUUGGAGUCUGCAACUCGACUCCAUGAAGUCGGAAUCGCUAGUAAUCGUGGAUCAGAAUGCCACGGUGAAUACGUUCCCGGGCCUUGUACACACCGCCCGUCACACCAUGGGAGUGGGUUGCAAAAGAAGUAGGUAGCUUAACCUUCGGGAGGGCGCUUACCACUUUGUGAUUCAUGACUGGGGUGAAGUCGUAACAAGGUAACCGUAGGGGAACCUGCGGUUG
Molecule: ribosomal RNA, 1521 nt
Filed under: Salmonella enterica subsp. enterica serovar Newport
Lineage: Bacteria; Pseudomonadati; Pseudomonadota; Gammaproteobacteria; Enterobacterales; Enterobacteriaceae
Description: bacterial SSU rRNA
Rfam family: Bacterial small subunit ribosomal RNA
Source: RNAcentral